RNAcentral lists this ribosomal RNA (524 nucleotides) under Simulium nodosum. RNAcentral's name for it is "partial 16S ribosomal RNA". It matches the Rfam family "Bacterial large subunit ribosomal RNA", at positions 1815 to 2605 of the family's 2925-position model. The record is from RNAcentral. Lineage: Eukaryota; Metazoa; Arthropoda; Insecta; Diptera; Simuliidae. RNAcentral also lists the same sequence under 1 other name.
ACAUGUCUUUUUGGUUAUUUAAUAUAAAGUCUGACCUGCCCACUGAAUAAUUUUAAAGGGCCGCAGUAUUUUGACUGUGCAAAGGUAGCAUAAUCAUUAGUCUUUUAAUUGAAGGCUGGUAUGAAUGGUUGGAUGAGAUACAAGCUGUGUCAUAAAAAUUAAUAUUUGAAUUUACCUUUUUAGUCAAAAGGCUAAAAUAAUAUUAAAAGACGAGAAGACCCUAUAGAGCUUUAUAUAACUUAUAUUUAGAUUAUUAGUAUUUUUUAAAUUUAAUUAUUUUGUUAUAUUUUGUUGGGGUGACAAUAAAAUUUAUAAAACUUUUAUUAUUAUUUUUCAUUAAUUUAUGUUUAAAUGAUCCAGUUUUAUUGAUUAUAAAUUUAAGUUACCUUAGGGAUAACAGCGUAAUUUUUUUUGAGAGUUCUUAUCGACAAAAAAGAUUGCGACCUCGAUGUUGGAUUAAGAGUAAUUUUGGGUGUAGAAGUUCAAAGUUUAAGUCUGUUCGACUUUUAAAUUCUUACAUGAUC